UACGAAGGGGGCUAGCGUUGCUCGGAAUCACUGGGCGUAAAGGGUGCGUAGGCGGGUCUUUAAGUCAGGGGUGAAAUCCUGGAGCUCAACUCCAGAACUGCCUUUGAUACUGAAGAUCUUGAGUUCGGGAGAGGUGAGUGGAACUGCGAGUGUAGAGGUGAAAUUCGUAGAUAUUCGCAAGAACACCAGUGGCGAAGGCGGCUCACUGGCCCGAUACUGACGCUGAGGCACGAAAGCGUGGGGAGCCAACAGG
Molecule: ribosomal RNA, 253 nt
Filed under: uncultured bacterium
Lineage: Bacteria
Description: partial 16S ribosomal RNA
Rfam family: Bacterial small subunit ribosomal RNA
Source: RNAcentral